Molecule: ribosomal RNA, 260 nt
Filed under: uncultured Staphylococcus sp.
Lineage: Bacteria; Bacillati; Bacillota; Bacilli; Caryophanales; Staphylococcaceae
Description: partial 16S ribosomal RNA
Rfam family: Bacterial small subunit ribosomal RNA
Source: RNAcentral
UACGUAGGUGGCAAGCGUUAUCCGGAAUUAGUGGGCGUAAAGCGCGCGUAGGCGGUUUUUUAAGUCUGAUGUGAAAGCCCACGGCUCAACCGUGGAGGGUCAUUGGAAACUGGAAAACUUGAGUGCAGAAGAGGAAAGUGGAAUUCCAUGUGUAGCGGUGAAAUGCGCAGAGAUAUGGAGGAACACCAGUGGCGAAGGCGACUUUCUGGUCUGUAACUGACGCUGAUGUGCGAAAGCGUGGGGAUCAAACAGGAUUAGAU